This 859-nucleotide ribosomal RNA is filed under the name uncultured bacterium. Its description in RNAcentral is "bacterial SSU rRNA". It matches the Rfam family "Bacterial small subunit ribosomal RNA", at positions 60 to 915 of the family's 1533-position model. The record is from RNAcentral.
AGGGAAGCGAGUGGUGAGAGGAGUUGCUCGGGUUCAGCGGCGGCGGGUGAGUAAUGCCUAGGAAUCUGCCUGAUAGUGGGGGACAACGUUUCGAAAGGAACGCUAAUACCGAAUACGUCCUACGGGAGAAAGCAGGGGACCUUCGGGCCUUGCGCUAUCAGAUGAGCCUAGGUCGGAUUAGCUAGUUGGUGAGGUAAUGGCUCACCAAGGCGACGAUCCGUAACUGGUCUGAGAGGAUGAUCAGUCACACUGGAACUGAGACACGGUCCAGACUCCUACGGGAGGCAGCAGUGGGGAAUAUUGGACAAUGGGCGAAAGCCUGAUCCAGCCAUGCCGCGUGUGUGAAGAAGGUCUUCGGAUUGUAAAGCACUUUAAGUUGGGAGGAAGGGUUGUAGAUUAAUACUCUGCAAUUUUGACGUUACCGACAGAAUAAGCACCGGCUAACUCUGUGCCAGCAGCCGCGGUAAUACAGAGGGUGCAAGCGUUAAUCGGAAUUACUGGGCGUAAAGCGCGCGUAGGUGGUUUGUUAAGUUGGAUGUGAAAUCCCCGGGCUCAACCUGGGAACUGCAUCCAAAACUGGCAAGCUAGAGUAUGGUAGAGGGUGGUGGAAUUUCCUGUGUAGCGGUGAAAUGCGUAGAUAUAGGAAGGAACACCAGUGGCGAAGGCGACCACCUGGACUGAUACUGACACUGAGGUGCGAAAGCGUGGGGGAGCAAACAGGAUUAGAUACCCUGGUAGUCCACGCCGUAAACGAUGUCAACUAGCCGUUGGGAGCCUUGAGCUCUUAGUGGCGCAUAAACGCAUUAAGUUGACCGCCUGGGGAGUACGGCCGCAAGUUUAAAACUCAAAUGAAUUGCCG